CAAUUGUUGCAACUUCUUUUUCAUAAUCGUAGUUUUUCUUCAUUGAUCAUAAUGGGUGGAAAGAGUUCUCCAACGAUGUUUUGUUUGGUUCUAGCCUUCUUACUUUAUGCAUCUAUUUAGUAUAAUUUUAUUAUAUAUAAAUCUCUACAACUUAUGGCAAAUGAGGAGGUCAAGUCAACUGAGUUGAAUGUUUUACAACUUCCGGCAUCAAAAGACCUUGACGCCGAAAAAGUUGAUGAAUUUGUUCAAGUGGUUGCGACUCGUUAUGGACCCUUCUAUUUUAGUCGUCCUAGAAAACUUGGAUGUUUGUACACUAGGUGUUGUUUGACAGACAACGACUGUAUUGGUGCAUCUUGUGGCCCCAAGUGUCACCCUGGUUCCUGGGAGUGUUCCGUUUUCAGCCCCCAUGGCACCUGUGGUUCAUAAUUAUUAAAAUAAAAUUUGUAUCGAGGUUCGUACAAAAUACUAAAAUAAGAUUUGUACUGAAGUUGAGGUCGCAAACAAUCAUUAUGAUUAUGUAGAUAUAUCAACUUCUAGAACCUAUGAUGUGGUAAUGUAUUUUUAAAUAUUUCUCCUAAUUUUGAGUUGUUUUUUAUUGGAU
Nicotiana tabacum (common tobacco) is the source of this 601-nucleotide non-coding RNA. The record is from RefSeq and is a predicted model, not a curated record. NCBI's taxonomy places the organism in Eukaryota, Viridiplantae, Streptophyta, Magnoliopsida, Solanales, Solanaceae.